This 253-nucleotide ribosomal RNA is filed under the name uncultured bacterium. Its description in RNAcentral is "partial 16S ribosomal RNA". It matches the Rfam family "Bacterial small subunit ribosomal RNA", at positions 524 to 776 of the family's 1533-position model. The record is from RNAcentral.
UACGGGGGGGGCAAGCGUUGUUCGGAAUUACUGGGCGUAAAGGGCUCGUAGGUGGCCAACUAAGUCAGACGUGAAAUCCCUCGGCUUAACCGGGGAACUGCGUCUGAUACUGGAUGGCUAGAGAUUGGGAGAGGGAUGCGGAAUUCCAGGUGUAGCGGUGAAAUGCGUAGAUAUCUGGAGGAACACCGGUGGCGAAGGCGGCAUCCUGGACCAACACUGACGCUGAGGAGCGAAAGCCAGGGGAGCAAACAGG